AGAUUCUAAGGAAGGGAGCCUUGGCGUAACUAGUAAAGUUGUCAUAUGAAAAGGAGAUCAUGGAUUCAAGCGAUGGAAACAGACUCUUGCAAAAAUGCCAAGUAAGGCAGUGUACAGUGGACCCUUGUGGUGUAGUCAUUUCUCGGACCUUGCACAUAAUGGGAGCUUUAGGCACCGGACUGCCCUUACUCUCUAGUCCUUAUUUUAUAUUCCCUCCGCUUCAAUUUGUUUAACCUACUGUCCUUUUCAGUCCGUUUCAAAAAGAAUGACCCUUUAACUUUUUAGCAAGUCUUUAAUUCCAACUUUCAUAUGUUUAAGACCACAAGAUUAAAGGACAGAUUGGUCUAUUUGAUAUAUUUUCAAUUUAAGACCAUAAGAUUCAAAAAGCCUUCUUUAUUUUUGUAAACCAUGAUUCAAGUCAAAAUAGGUCGAACAAAUCGUAACGGAAGGAGUAAUACUAAAGCUGGAAGUAACAUGCUAAAUGGGAAUGUUGUUCUUUUCUAUGACCGCAAAUAGAAAUGGAGUUAGGAUUCUUUGUUUAUUGGGUUCUUGAUAGUAUGUAAAAUAAGACUUCCAGAUGCAACUAGAGAGGUGUUGGAUAUCUCGAGAGGCCGCUCGAGCAAGCACCAAAGUGGCUGGUGCCUGGUGGUGGAAUGAAGAGGUGAAAGGAAAGGUGGAGGCUAAGAAGAGAGCGUACGCGAAGUUGCUUGAGAGUAAGGAUGAAGAGGAUAAACGGAGAAUAGGGAGAGUAUAAAAUUGCUAGUCGAGAGGCGAAGUUAGCGGUCACGAUGGAUAAGGAUGUUGCUUUCGAGAGUUUAUACAUUGCGUUAGAUAGUAAAGGUGGGGAUACAAAGUUAUACUAGCCAAGGUUAGUGAUACAAGACAAGACAAGGGAGGCACGAAACAAACACCAAAAUCAGUCCACAAGUUCAAAGAACCGAGGACCCUUUUGAUGACCACUCUCGGAUUCAACAAAUACAACAAGAAUACAGGAUAAAAGGGUGUAUUUCAACACCAAAACAGCUACAAAACGUGAUGAAGAAGAUGAACAACAAUAACACAAGUUUUGAAUUCAACAAAAGAACCCAAAAAAGUGCACUGCACAACAACAAGAAGAUGACAACAACAAAAUGUAAAGAUAGGUAGUGUGACAUAGAUUACUACAAUAACUAUCGCAAUUUGGAGACGUGCAAACUAAACUUAGCGAUGAUGAAACUGUGGAACAAUUCUUGAGACGUUACUUCGGGUUCAAACAUGAGUUUCUUGGAGUAGUUGCAGCUGUGACAGUUGCAUAUGCUGUUGUUUUUGCAUUCACAUUUGCUUUCGGUAUUGAGGUAUUCAACUUCCAGAGAAGAUAGAAGAGUUUACUUGUUGAAGAUCUAAGAGCAGAACUGGAUGUAAGAGAGAUUGAUGAAGUUUAUAUAUUUUUUUGUUUUCUGAAUCUCAUGUGCUUGGGUAAGAAAUAAUAUUGGUUUGUUAAUGUUUUAUGAAAAUAUAGCAGCAAAUUUGUCCCAUGGUUCUCAGAUUCUAAGGAAGGGAGCCUUGGCGUAACUAGUAAAGUUGUCAUAUGAAAAGGAGAUCAUGGAUUCAAGCGAUGGAAACAGACUCUUGCAAAAAUGCCAAGUAAGGCAGUGUACAGUGGACCCUUGUGGUGUAGUCAUUUCUCGGACCUUGCACAUAAUGGGAGCUUUAGGCACCGGACUGCCCUUACUCUCUAGUCCUUAUUUUAUAUUCCCUCCGCUUCAAUUUGUUUAACCUACUGUCCUUUUCAGUCCGUUUCAAAAAGAAUGACCCUUUAACUUUUUAGC
This 1808-nucleotide long non-coding RNA is filed under the name Capsicum annuum. Its description in RNAcentral is "long non-coding RNA (CANN_LNC018341)". The record is from RNAcentral. Lineage: Eukaryota; Viridiplantae; Streptophyta; Magnoliopsida; Solanales; Solanaceae.